Molecule: ribosomal RNA, 253 nt
Filed under: uncultured bacterium
Lineage: Bacteria
Description: partial 16S ribosomal RNA
Rfam family: Bacterial small subunit ribosomal RNA
Source: RNAcentral
UACGGGGGGGGCGAGCGUUGUUCGGAAUUACUGGGCGUAAAGGGUGCGUAGGCGGCCAACUAAGUCGGAUGUGAAAUCCCCAGGCUUAACCUGGGAACUGCAUCCGAUACUGGAUGGCUUGAAUCCGGGAGAGGGAUGCAGAAUUCCAGGUGUAGCGGUGAAAUGCGUAGAUAUCUGGAGGAACACCGGUGGCGAAGGCGGCAUCCUGGACCGAAAUUGACGCUGAGGCGCGAAAGCCAGGGGAGCAAACGGG